Molecule: ribosomal RNA, 380 nt
Filed under: uncultured eukaryote
Lineage: Eukaryota
Description: partial 18S ribosomal RNA
Rfam family: Eukaryotic small subunit ribosomal RNA
Source: RNAcentral
CAAUAGCGUAUAUUAAAGUUGUUGCAGUUAAAAAGCUCGUAGUUGGAUUUGUGGCGUACGGUGUGUUCCGGGCACUUGUUGUCUGAGUAACCUGCUGUUGCCAUCCUUGGGUGGAACCUGUGUGGCAUUAGGUUGUCGUGCAGGGGAUGCCCAUCAUUUAUUGUGAAAAAAUUAGAGUGUUCAAAGCAGGCUUAUGCCGUUGAAUAUAUUAGCAUGGAAUAAUGAGAUAGGACUUUUUUGCUAUUUUGUUGGUUUGCGCAAAGAGGUAAUGAUUAAUAGGGACAGUUGGGGGUAUUCGUAUUCCAUUGUCAGAGGUGAAAUUCUUGGAUUUUUGGAAGACGAACUACUGCGAAAGCAUUUACCAAGGAUGUUUUCAUUGA